This 440-nucleotide ribosomal RNA is filed under the name uncultured bacterium. Its description in RNAcentral is "partial 16S ribosomal RNA". It matches the Rfam family "Bacterial small subunit ribosomal RNA", at positions 338 to 795 of the family's 1533-position model. The record is from RNAcentral.
CCUACGGGAGGCUGCAGUGGGGAAUAUUGCACAAUGGGGGAAACCCUGAUGCAGCGACGCCGCGUGAGUGAAGAAGUAUCUCGGUACGUAAAGCUCUAUUAGUAGGGAAGAAAAUGACGGUACCUGACUAAGAAGCCCCGGCCAAUUACGUGCCAGCAGCCGCGGUAACACGUAGGGGGCAAGCGUUAUCCGGAUUUACUGGGGGUAAAGGGAGCGUAGACGGGAGUACAAGGCUGGAGUGAAAUCCCGGGGCUGAACCCCGGAACUGCUUUGGAAACUGUGCGGCUGGAGUGCAGGAGGGGUAAGCGGAAUUCCUGGUGUAGCGGUGAAAUGCGUAGAUAUUAGGAAGAACACCGGUGGCGAAGGCAGCUUACUGGACUGAAACUGACGUUGAGGCUCGAAAGCGUGGGGAGCAAACAGGAUUAGAUACCCGUGUAGUC